GAUUCAUCGUCAGCGUUACUGGUACGUGUGCGGUUCGCGAUGCCUGGGACUUCGGUUCCGGGGCACGCGUCCGCAUGUUUUUAUUGCCUGGUAUCGUCGGCGUGCACUUCUCCCCUAGUAGGACGUCGCGACCCGUUGGGUGUCGGUCUACGGCCCGGGUGGGCGCCUGUCUCGUGUGCGCUUCACGGCGUUUCAGCGAGGCAGACCCCCGGUUGUCCGACCGGCUGCCCGGCGGUACUCGCAAGGUAUCCAGCCGCAAACAUUUGAACUGCGUCCGGCCCGUCGCAAGCGAGGCAAGUGUUUCCCGAAUGUACGGAUCUAAUGCCGUCAUCGGGCCUUGCCAGCUGUUGGUUGACGGUGUCCUAGGACCGGCUGUAACUCAAUUAUGAUACCGGUCAGCGACGCUACUGCUUUGGGUACUUUCAGGACCCGUCUUGAAACACGGACCAAGGAGUCUAACAUGUGCGCGAGUCAUUGGGAGCUAUUAAGCCUAAAGGCGCAAUGAAAGUAAAGAUCGGCCUUGCGCCGACCGAGGGAGGAUGGGCCGCUCUACGAGUCGGUCCCGCACUCCCGGGACGUCUCGUUCUCAUUACGAGAAGAGGCGUACCCAGAGCGUACACGU
This 622-nucleotide ribosomal RNA is filed under the name Enizemum ornatum. RNAcentral describes it as "partial large subunit ribosomal RNA". It matches the Rfam family "Eukaryotic large subunit ribosomal RNA", at positions 585 to 809 of the family's 3401-position model. The record is from RNAcentral. Lineage: Eukaryota; Metazoa; Arthropoda; Insecta; Hymenoptera; Ichneumonidae.